Molecule: ribosomal RNA, 464 nt
Filed under: uncultured bacterium
Lineage: Bacteria
Description: bacterial SSU rRNA
Rfam family: Bacterial small subunit ribosomal RNA
Source: RNAcentral
GCCAGACUCCUACGGGAGGCAGCAGUGAGGAAUAUUGGUCAAUGGGCGGGAGCCUGAACCAGCCAAGUCGCGUGAGGGACGACGGUCCUAUGGAUUGUAAACCUCUUUUGUCGGGGAACAAAGGCGCCCACGGGUGGGCGGAUGAGUGUACCCGAAGAAAAAGCAUCGGCUAACUCCGUGCCAGCAGCCGCGGUAAUACGGAGGAUGCGAGCGUUGUCCGGAAUUACUGGGUGUAAAGGGAGCGUAGGCGGGGAUGCAAGUUGGGUGUCAAAACUACCGGCUCAACUGGUAGCCGCACUCAAAACUGCAGCUCUUGAGUGAAGUAGAGGCAGGCGGAAUUCCUAGUGUAGCGGUGAAAUGCGUAGAUAUUAGGAGGAACACCAGUGGCGAAGGCGGCCUGCUAGGCUUUUACUGACGCUGAAGCUCGAAAGUGUGGGGAGCAAACAGGAUUAGAUACCCGUGUA